AAUAUUGGACAAUGGGGGCAACCUUGUUCAACCAAUGCCGCGUGUUUGAAGAAGGUCUUCGGAUUUUAACGCACUUUAAGUUGGGAGGAAGGGCUUUGGGUUAAUACCUGGAGGUUUUGCCGUUACCAACAGAUAAACAACCGCCUACCUCUUUCCAAGCAGCCGCGGUAAUACAGAGGGUGCAAGCGUUAAUCGGAAUUACUGGGCGUAAAGCGCGCGUAGGUGGUUCAGUAAGAUGGGUGUGAAAUCCCCGGGCUUAACCUGGGAACUGCUUUCAUAACUGCUGAGCUAGAGUACGGUAGAGGGUAGUGGAAUUUCCUGUGUAGCGGUGAAAUGCGUAGAUAUAGGAAGGAACACCAGUGGCGAAGGCGACUACCUGGACUGAUACUGACACUGAGGUGCGAAAGCGUGGGGAGCAAACAG
This 423-nucleotide ribosomal RNA is filed under the name uncultured bacterium. Its description in RNAcentral is "partial 16S ribosomal RNA". It matches the Rfam family "Bacterial small subunit ribosomal RNA", at positions 360 to 775 of the family's 1533-position model. The record is from RNAcentral.